AUUGAACGCUGGCGGCAUGCCUUACACAUGCAAGUCGAACGGCAGCACGGGAGCAAUCCUGGUGGCGAGUGGCGAACGGGUGAGUAAUAUAUCGGAACGUGCCCAGUCGUGGGGAUAACGUAGCGAAAGCUACGCUAAUACCGCAUACGAUCUAUGGAUGAAAGCGGGGGAUCGCAAGACCUCGCGCGAUUGGAGCGGCCGAUAUCAGAUUAGGUAGUUGGUGAGGUAAAGGCUCACCAAGCCGACGAUCUGUAGCUGGUCUGAGAGGACGACCAGCCACACUGGGACUGAGACACGGCCCAGACUCCUACGGGAGGCAGCAGUGGGGAAUUUUGGACAAUGGGCGCAAGCCUGAUCCAGCAAUGCCGCGUGCAGGAUGAAGGCCUCGGUUGUAACUGCUUUGUUACGGACGAACGGUGAGCUCUAAUACAGUUGCUAAUGACGGUACCGUAAGAAUAAGCACCGGCGUAACUACGUACG
Molecule: ribosomal RNA, 480 nt
Filed under: uncultured bacterium
Lineage: Bacteria
Description: bacterial SSU rRNA
Rfam family: Bacterial small subunit ribosomal RNA
Source: RNAcentral